This 401-nucleotide ribosomal RNA is filed under the name Oerstedia fuscosparsa. RNAcentral's name for it is "partial large subunit ribosomal RNA". The stretch from base 277 to 401 matches the Rfam family "Bacterial large subunit ribosomal RNA", at positions 2473 to 2597 of the family's 2925-position model. Lineage: Eukaryota; Metazoa; Nemertea; Enopla; Monostilifera; Oerstediidae. RNAcentral also lists the same sequence under 1 other name. The record is from RNAcentral.
GUGCAAAGGUAGCAUAAUCAUUUGCUUCAUAAUUGGGGGCUAGUAUGAAUGGAAUUACGAAAAUUUUUCUUUCUUUUUUUUUUUUUAUGAAAUUAUAAUUAAUGUGAAGAUACAUUAAAAAUUAAAAAAGACAAGAAGACCCUUUUGAGCUUUAUUUUUAUUUUUUUUUUUAUUUAAAUUAUUAUUUAGUUGGGGCGAUUAAAGAAGAAAUAUUUUUUAUCUUCUUUUUUUUAUUUUGAACCAUUGAUUUUGGUUUUUAGAAUUAGUUACCAAAGGGAUAACAGCGUAAUUUUUUUUAAGAGUUCUUAUUAAAAAAAAAGAUUGCGACCUCGAUGUUGACUUAUAAUUUCCUUUUGGUGCAGUAGCUAAAAAGGGUGGGUCGGUUCAACCUUUAAAAUUUU